AGUGAACGCUGGCGGUAGGCCUAACACAUGCCAGUCGAACGGCAGCACAGUAAGAGCUUGCUCUUACGGGUGGCGAGUGGCGGACGGUUGAGUUAUACAUCGGAAUCUACUUUUUCGUGAGGGAUAACGUAGGGAAACUUACGCUAAUACCGCAUACGACCUACGGGUGAAAGCAGGGGAUCUUCGGACCUUGCGCGAUUGAAUGAGCCGAUGUCGGAUUAGCUAGUUGGCGGGGUAAAGGCCCACCAAGGCGACGAUCCGUAGCUGGUCUGAGAGGAUGAUCAGCCACACUGGAACUGAGACACGGUCCAGACUCCUACGGGAGGCAGCAGUGGGGAAUAUUGGACAAUGGGCGCAAGCCUGAUCCAGCCAUACCGCGUGGGUGAAGAAGGCCUUCGGGUUGUAAAGCCCUUUUGUUGGGAAAGAAAAGCAGCAGGUUAAUACCCCGCUGUUCUGACGGUACCCAAAGAAUAAGCACCGGCUAACUUCGUG
RNAcentral lists this ribosomal RNA (492 nucleotides) under uncultured bacterium. RNAcentral describes it as "partial 16S ribosomal RNA". It matches the Rfam family "Bacterial small subunit ribosomal RNA", at positions 29 to 507 of the family's 1533-position model. The record is from RNAcentral.